GAUGAAGAACGCAGCGAAGUGCGAUAAGUAGUGUGAAUUGCAGAAUUUCGUGAAUCAUCGAAUCUUUGAACGCAAAUUGCACUCUCCGGUUUUCCGGGAGAGUAUACCUGUUUGAGGGUCAGCCUAAAUAAAUUCGGCUUCGUUGCUGUGUUUUCGCGGUAACGUUUUAGUCGGAAUUUGGGUCAUCUUAAACCGAAAGGUCUUUAAGCGACUUAAAAUUUUUUUUACGAUCCUACGAACGUUUCUAAGAUCUUCUUACACGUUCAAGGUGUCGAAUAACCCUAUUAGGCGUGGCCGUCGUAUCGGAUCGCGUCCAUAAUAUUUAUUCUUUAACUGACCUCAGACAGGUAAGAGUACCCGCUGAACUUAAGCAUAUCAAUAAGCGGAGGA
This 390-nucleotide unclassified non-coding RNA is filed under the name soil metagenome. RNAcentral's name for it is "partial contains 5.8S ribosomal RNA, internal transcribed spacer 2, and large subunit ribosomal RNA". The stretch from base 1 to 121 matches the Rfam family "5.8S ribosomal RNA", at positions 35 to 154 of the family's 154-position model. The record is from RNAcentral.